GGUUGUGUAGUGUAAUGGUUCAUCACUCCAGAUUCUGAUUCUGGCAAUCCUGGUUCGAUUCCGGGCACGACCU
Non-coding RNA from Aspergillus lentulus, 73 nucleotides. The record is from Rfam. NCBI's taxonomy places the organism in Eukaryota, Fungi, Ascomycota, Eurotiomycetes, Eurotiales, Aspergillaceae.